CGAUCAUCCAUGACACCCUCGUCGUAUAACACUGCUGGUUCCAUUCUGCUGCUGUCAGGGUCGCUGUACUCAGACAUGCGUUGCCCUCAAUUUGUAAAUCCAGCAAAUGGUGUUUCCUUGUAGCUGUCCUCUGGGCUGUGAGAACCAUCCCGUCGCUUGCUACCAAUUGUAACGGCACCCCCAGGGAUAAAAGGGUGUUAAAAGCCUUUUAGUAGAUAUUCCCCUUCCAGAUAUACAGGCAGCUACC
Molecule: non-coding RNA, 247 nt
Organism: Pelobates cultripes (western spadefoot toad)
Lineage: Eukaryota; Metazoa; Chordata; Amphibia; Anura; Pelobatidae
Source: the annotation of a GenBank genome assembly